Non-coding RNA from Schistosoma haematobium, 45 nucleotides. NCBI's taxonomy places the organism in Eukaryota, Metazoa, Platyhelminthes, Trematoda, Strigeidida, Schistosomatidae. The record is from Rfam.
AUCCAGUUGACGAAUUCCAAAUAGGACGAAACGCGCGUCCUGGAU